AAGCACCAAAACAGCUUCACUCCAACAACACCCAAAAAUCAAAGUCUGAGAGGAUUCACGUCAUCCGGGAGGUUCAUCACAGCGGAGAG
Long non-coding RNA from Salarias fasciatus (jewelled blenny), 89 nucleotides. RefSeq lists it as uncharacterized. The transcript is spliced from 3 exons. The record is from RefSeq and is a predicted model, not a curated record. NCBI's taxonomy places the organism in Eukaryota, Metazoa, Chordata, Actinopteri, Blenniiformes, Blenniidae.